This 132-nucleotide ribosomal RNA is filed under the name Carlito syrichta (Philippine tarsier). The record is from RNAcentral. Lineage: Eukaryota; Metazoa; Chordata; Mammalia; Primates; Tarsiidae.
GUCUAUGGCCAUACCACCCUGAACAUGCCUGAUCUUGUCUAAUCUUGGAAGCUGAGCAGGGUCGGUCCUAGUUAGUAUUUAGAUGGGAGGUUUUUUAAUUGUUUUGUUUUUUCACUUUGGAUACCAUUUAUU